UACGGAGGGUGCAAGCGUUAUCCGGAUUUAUUGGGUUUAAAGGGUCCGUAGGCUGAUGUGUAAGUCAGUGGUGAAAUCUCACAGCUUAACUGUGAAACUGCCAUUGAUACUGCAUGUCUUGAGUGUUGUUGAAGUAGCUGGAAUAAGUAGUGUAGCGGUGAAAUGCAUAGAUAUUACUUAGAACACCAAUUGCGAAGGCAGGUUACUAAGCAACAACUGACGCUGAUGGACGAAAGCGUGGGGAGCGAACAGG
RNAcentral lists this ribosomal RNA (253 nucleotides) under uncultured bacterium. Its description in RNAcentral is "partial 16S ribosomal RNA". It matches the Rfam family "Bacterial small subunit ribosomal RNA", at positions 524 to 776 of the family's 1533-position model. The record is from RNAcentral.